GACGAACGCUGGCGGCGUGCCUAAUACAUGCAAGUUGAGCGAUGAAGAUUGGUGCUUGCACCAAUUUGAAGAGCAGCGAACGGGUGAGUAACGCGUGGGGAAUCUGCCUUUGAGCGGGGGACAACAUUUGGAAACGAAUGCUAAUACCGCAUAACAACUUUAAACAUAAGUUUUAAGUUUGAAAGAUGCAAUUGCAUCACUCAAAGAUGAUCCCGCGUUGUAUUAGCUAGUUGGUGAGGUAAAGGCUCACCAAGGCGAUGAUACAUAGCCGACCUGAGAGGGUGAUCGGCCACAUUGGGACUGAGACACGGCCCAAACUCCUACGGGAGGCAGCAGUAGGGAAUCUUCGGCAAGGGACGAAAGUCUGACCGAGCAACGCCGCGGGAGUGAAGAAGGUUGUCGGAUCGUAAAACUCGGUUGGUAGAGAAGAACGUUGGUGAGAGUGGAAAGCUCAUCAAGUGACGGUAACUACUCAGAAAGGGACGGCUAACUACGUG
Molecule: ribosomal RNA, 497 nt
Filed under: uncultured bacterium
Lineage: Bacteria
Description: partial 16S ribosomal RNA
Rfam family: Bacterial small subunit ribosomal RNA
Source: RNAcentral